RNAcentral lists this ribosomal RNA (397 nucleotides) under uncultured bacterium. Its description in RNAcentral is "partial 16S ribosomal RNA". It matches the Rfam family "Bacterial small subunit ribosomal RNA", at positions 523 to 918 of the family's 1533-position model. The record is from RNAcentral.
AUACGUAGGGGGCGAGCGUUGUCCGGAAUGAUUGGGCGUAAAGGGCGCGUAGGCGGCCCGGUAAGUCUGGAGUGAAUGUCCUGUUUUUAAGAUGGGAAUUGCUUUGGAUACUGUCGGGCUUGAGUGCAGGAGAGGUAAGUGGAAUUCCCAGUGUAGCGGUGAAAUGCGUAGAGAUUGGGAGGAACACCAGUGGCGAAGGCGACUUACUGGACUGUAACUGACGCUGAGGCGCGAAAGUGUGGGGAGCAAACAGGAUUAGAUACCCUGGUAGUCCACACUGUAAACGAUGAAUGCUAGGUGUAGGGGGUAUCGACCCCUUCUGUGCCGCAGUCAACACAAUAAGCAUUCCGCCUGGGGAGUACGGCCGCAAGGUUGAAACUCAAAUGAAUUGACGGGG